This is a non-coding RNA of Labrus bergylta (ballan wrasse), 1042 nucleotides long. Lineage: Eukaryota; Metazoa; Chordata; Actinopteri; Labriformes; Labridae. The record is from RefSeq and is a predicted model, not a curated record.
ACGGCCCGACAUGCUUACUAACUGUGUUGCUCUCUGCACGAGGAGGAAAGUUUGAUGUCCGUGCUUCACAAUAAAAGCAUCGUAGUAUUUUUAUAGGGAAAUGAUUGUAUGACUGUUAAGCCUACGAUAGCCUUUCUGUGCUUAAUACUUUAGGUUAAAGAGACAUGUAGCUUACCUUUAUUUAUUUACAUAUUAUAACCUAUUACAUUACUGUGUAGUGUUUUGUAUGUUAUUAUAGAGGUAAGAUGAAGCAUUCAGAUGUGUUCCUUAAGUAUAUAUUCUGCUAUUCUUUUUCUUAUAGAAAACCACAACAAGACCCAAUACUCUGUCAUAUUUAAUGGCCACUGAGAUGCCUGUAUUUUGUUUCAUGAGGAAGAAGUAAACAGCCAUUCAACCAAAUCUGCCCUCUUGUUAUUCAUAUUCUGGAAUAAGGCCUGAAGUGGUGUUCUGGCCGACACACCUGAGUGAAUCCAGUGGAAAGCAACAGACUAGUGUCCCAACUGAGUUUAGUUUUAUUAUCUUCAUUACAGCCAGGACUUUGACAGAAUCACUGUUCUUUAAACCAUGGUAAGAAAUAGGCAAAAGUACACAUUGUAUAGUGUAUAUCUGCUCUUCAUUCGAAUUUCAACCUAAAUUUGGACAACAAUAGAGGACUCUUUCCUGCGGCGGAGGAAGUCCGUGCGCCUGAUAACAUAGCUUGAACGGAGGCGGAGUAAUUCAACGGUCCUGUGAAGCAGCCGUAGGGAGAGAGAACGUCUUCGGUGAACCGACAGCAUUCGGACUUGGAUCUAAAUUCAGAGUUCAGGAGGAUUGUCACCACAGACCUGAUGGAGUCUUUCUUUGGUGGACUAGAUGCCUUGUUACCAAACCUUAUAGAGUUGUACCAGUCAGGUGUCACAUCCAACAAGAGGUUAAUCCUGAGAAGAAUUCUGCAGUGUCUUGGGAAAGAGGAUUCAAACCAAAACAGACUUACAGAUGCCCUACUUGGCCUUCCAUGCUUCUUUGCAGAGGAUUUCUCAAACAUGAUCCGGGUUAUGUGUGA